UACCAACUGAGCCACAGCCUCAGAUUUGAGAU
This 32-nucleotide non-coding RNA is filed under the name Rattus norvegicus (Norway rat). The record is from RNAcentral. Lineage: Eukaryota; Metazoa; Chordata; Mammalia; Rodentia; Muridae.